UAUAUAGCAUUGUAGUAUAUAGUCAUUUCAACUAAAUAAUUUCUUGGUAAUAAUACAUGUGUAGUUCAGUCUCCAAUUUGAUGCAGCUGCAGUUUAUGUGAUGUUGGAUAGUGGAGUUUGGAAGGAUAUUUCAGUGAUAAUGGGUUUUUAAUGAAUCCAAACAAAGUCUGUAGCAUGACCUUUACAUCUUGGACUGAUAUUUCUGCUGAAGAUGCUACCAAGAACAUACAAAGUCACUGGUUGACACAUAUACAACUGACCUGUUUUAAUUGACUGAUGAAAUAGAACUUAGAACUCACUGUAUUUCAGAAGCUUUAUUUGCCACUGCUUUUCAAAAUUUGUAUAGAUAGUCUAUUUAUAAAUUUA
Long non-coding RNA from Amphimedon queenslandica, 366 nucleotides. RefSeq lists it as uncharacterized. The transcript has 3 exons. NCBI's taxonomy places the organism in Eukaryota, Metazoa, Porifera, Demospongiae, Haplosclerida, Niphatidae. The record is from RefSeq and is a predicted model, not a curated record.